Molecule: unclassified non-coding RNA, 169 nt
Filed under: uncultured Trichomerium
Lineage: Eukaryota; Fungi; Ascomycota; Eurotiomycetes; Chaetothyriales
Description: sequence contains ITS2
Source: RNAcentral
UCCUCUCUCAAACCUCGCGUUUGGUGUUGGACCGCGUUGGACCGCUCGCGGCCAACUGGUCUUAAAGACAGUGACGGCGUCCGUGGGACCCUCUUCGCAUCGAGCUUUUCGAAGCACGCGUCGAGUUUCAAGGCCCCAGGGACCCGGUCGAGCCUCCUUUAUUUUAUCA